RNAcentral lists this ribosomal RNA (119 nucleotides) under Esox lucius (northern pike). Lineage: Eukaryota; Metazoa; Chordata; Actinopteri; Esociformes; Esocidae. The record is from RNAcentral.
GCUUACGGCCAUACCAGCCUGAAUACGCCCGAUCUCGUCCGAUCUCGGAAGCUAAGCAGGGUCGGGCCUGGGUAGUACUUGGAUGGGAGACCGCCUGGGAAUACCAGGUGCGGUAAGCU